GAUGAACGCUGGCGGCGUGCCUAAUACAUGCAAGUCGAGCGAACAGACGAGGAGCUUGCUCCUCUGACGUUAGCGGCGGACGGGUGAGUAACACGUGGAUAACCUACCUAUAAGACUGGAUAACUUCGGGAAACCGGAGCUAAUACCGGAUAAUAUAUUGAACCGCAUGGUUCAAUAGUGAAAGACGGUUUUGCUGUCACUUAUAGAUGGAUCCGCGCCGCAUUAACUAGUUGGUAAGGUAACGGCUUACCAAGGCAACGAUGCGUAGCCGACCUGAGAGGGUGAUCGGCCACACUGGAACUGAGACACGGUCCAGACUCCUACGGGAGGCAGCAGUAGGGAAUCUUCCGCAAUGGGCGAAAGCCUGACGGAGCAACGCCGCGUGAGUGAUGAAGGUCUUCGGAUCGUAAAACUCUGUUAUUAGGGAAGAACAAAUGUGUAAGUAACUAUGCACGUCUUGACGGUACCUAAUCAGAAAGCCACGGCUAACUACGUG
This 496-nucleotide ribosomal RNA is filed under the name uncultured bacterium. RNAcentral's name for it is "partial 16S ribosomal RNA". It matches the Rfam family "Bacterial small subunit ribosomal RNA", at positions 28 to 507 of the family's 1533-position model. The record is from RNAcentral.